This is a long non-coding RNA of Lycium barbarum (goji berry), 358 nucleotides long. RefSeq lists it as uncharacterized. The transcript has 3 exons. NCBI's taxonomy places the organism in Eukaryota, Viridiplantae, Streptophyta, Magnoliopsida, Solanales, Solanaceae. The record is from RefSeq and is a predicted model, not a curated record.
UUGGUUUGGAGAGAGGAGCAUUAAAUUCAUCAAAGUGACCAUUCACUCAAGUGAAGAAGACUAGGGAAAAAGAUUUUUGACGAAACGGGAAGUGAGUUUGGAAAGGCGUAAGGAGCUUGAAAGGUACCGACGACAGGUUUGCUGAUCCGUCUGCUUAGGAUCUCAUUCUGCUAUUUUUGGAGCGCUCUUUUAUUCAGAGCCAUCUUUUGGUAUAGUCUGUCACUUCUAUAUAUGUAUAUUUCUCGUUCAUGGGUACGGCGGGGCCCUGUCCCGUCAUAUGAUUCUGUCGGUCUGUUAGAGGUCUGUGGACAUGUAGGUGGGUUGGGAUCUUUCUGUACAGCUGUGUGUAUAUGUUGUG